GAUGAACGCUGACCGAAUGCUUAACACAUGCAAGUCAACUUGAACUUCGGUUUGGGUGGCGGACGGGUGAGUAACGCGUAAAGAACUUGCCUCACAGUUAGGGACAACAUUUGGAAACGAAUGCUAAUACCUGAUAUUAUGAUUUUAGGGCAUCCUAGAAUUAUGAAAGCUAUAUGCGCUGUGAGAGAGCUUUGCGUCCCAUUAGCUAGUUGGAGAGGUAACGGCUCACCAAGGCGAUGAUGGGUAGCCGGCCUGAGAGGGUGAACGGCCACAAGGGGACUGGGGCACGGCCCUUACCCCUUCGGGAGGCAGCAGUGGGGAAUAUUGGACAAGGGACCAAGAGUCUGAUCCAGCAAUUCUGUGUGCACGAUGAAGUUUUUCGGAAUGUAAAGUGCUUUCAGUUGGGAAGAAAAAAAUGACGAUACCAACAGAAGAAGUGACGGCUAAAUACGUG
Molecule: ribosomal RNA, 454 nt
Filed under: uncultured bacterium
Lineage: Bacteria
Description: partial 16S ribosomal RNA
Rfam family: Bacterial small subunit ribosomal RNA
Source: RNAcentral